UUCACUUCCGAGUCUAUGUUUUCAUAUACCCUUUAUAAUUGAAGUCGAUGAAUGUAUUAGGCUUUGGCCAAUAAAACAAUACAACUUUCAACAAUGGAUCUCUUGGUUCUCGCAUCGAUGAAGAACGCAGCGAAUUGCGAUAUGUAAUGUGAAUUGCAGAAUUCAGUGAAUCAUCGAAUCUUUGAACGCACCUUGCGCCCUUUGGUAUUCCGAAGGGCAUGCCUGUUUGAGUGUCAUUAAAUUCUCAACUUCAACACUUUUUUGUAUUGAAGCUUGGAUGUUGGAGGGUCUUGCGGGCAUAUAUUAAUGUCAGCUCCUCUUAAAUGCAUUAGCAGAACCUGUGUUCGGCUCUGGUUUGAUAAUCCUAUCUAUGCCAUUGCUGAAAUGUCAUUGUUCAGCUUCUAAUGGUCCAUUGGACUGUCUCUUCAGAGGCAUAUAUUUUGACUUGACCUCA
RNAcentral lists this ribosomal RNA (454 nucleotides) under uncultured fungus. RNAcentral's name for it is "eukaryotic LSU rRNA". The stretch from base 83 to 236 matches the Rfam family "5.8S ribosomal RNA". The record is from RNAcentral. Lineage: Eukaryota; Fungi.